AAAAAAGAUUCGACCUUUCUCUUCUUCUUCUUCCUUCGUCUUCUUAGAUUUCUCAGAAACCCUAAAACUGCAAAUUCAACCUUCGAUUUCACCGUUCUGCUGCUAUUUUUAGUUGUUCGGUGAUGGAAUCUUAGGCUCUGCUUCUUGUCGAUUGUAAUUCCCGAAUUGGGGAUUUAGCUCUCAUCUGAGAUUGAAGAACAAAAAAAAAAUUGGUACUUUUUGGUUUUGAUGGCUUCAGAUCGUGGUUCAGCCGCUGCUGCUGGUAAGCCCUAUUGGAUGAAACAUGCGGAAGAUGCGAAAAUCAAAGACGAAGGUGAGAAAGACGCUGCGGCGAAAGCAGCCUUUGAAGCUACAUUCAGAGGUGUAGACCAAACCACACAUUUGAUUGAAGCUGUUGCACCGUCUUCCGUGGUACAUCAGGAAUCUGAUAGUGAUUCGGAUGAUGAUGAUGAAUCUGAUUACUUGUCGAGGAAACCAAUUGGUCCUGUGGAUCCUAGCAAGUCCACAGCUUCUGGUGCUGGGGUUGGUGGUGGAACGGCUUGUGUGCCUUGUACAUUUGUUGUUGUCACAAAGGAUUCAGAUGGAAGGAAGGUUCCUAAUGGUGGAGCUUUGAUUAGAGUUAAAGUGUCUCCUGGUGUUGGUGUUGGUGGUACUGAUCAACAAGGAGUGGUUAAAGAUGUUGGAGAUGGGAGUUAUGCUGUUACUUAUGUUGUGCCUAAGAGAGGAAACUAUAUGGUUAAUAUUGAAUGCAAUGGGAGUGCCAUCAUGGGAAGUCCCUUUCCUGUCUUCUUUAGCCAAGGGUCUUCUUCCACUGGACUGAUGGGUUCUGCUCCAGCUUCAUACUCGAAUCUUAUAAAUCAAACCAUGCCAAACAUGCCAAAUUACACAGGUUCUGUUUCGGGUGCUUUCCCGGGGUUGUUGGGAAUGGUUCCAGGCAUUUCCUCUGGUCCUUCAGGUGGUGCUAUUUUGCCUGGAGUUGGAGCUUCCCUUGGGGAAGUUGACGAUGGAGAUGCAAAUUCAGAUUCUAGUCCGCUGGAAAGGAACAGUGAAGGUCUUUUAUCGACACUGGAUUCGAUGUCAUCUCAGGAUGUGGAGAAGUCAAAGAGAAUCAACCAUCUAGCAGGUCAGUGGAAAUAUGGAAUGCGAAUGAUGAUGAGAAGAUUAAGAGAUUUGUUCAAUUCCUGUUAGAAAAAGAUUAGAGCUCUACCACACAUAUCUUGUCUGAACUUUAAAAAUCAGAUGGAGGAGAAAAGGAUGAUUUUGGAGUCAUAGGAAGAAGAUCUGGAGUCUUUACGUAAAAGGUUCAAAAUGCUGCAGGGCUGCAGCGAACCCGUGAACUCCAUUCCAAUGAAUCCUCCCAGAAGUAUACCAAGAACCAUCCACAACUUAACGUAUCCGGGAGAGUUUCUGCGGUUUUUUCGUUUAGAUCUCCUUAAUGUUGUUCUUGGUUUUGUCGUCAGCAACUCUUUGUUGUAUUACUUUGGCAUUUUCUGCCACAGUCCGUCGAUGGAGCUUGCUGCUGCUUAUGGAAGAAUAAAAAAUUUUAAUACUCGACAUAGAGAUGCCAAACUUGUUUUUGUCCUAUAACUAACUUCUGCUGGUCCAAUUUACCUUCUAAUGUAUGUCAACAUGUUUAUCCGCAUUGUGUAACUUUUUUGCCUCUA
Molecule: non-coding RNA, 1664 nt
Organism: Camelina sativa (false flax)
Lineage: Eukaryota; Viridiplantae; Streptophyta; Magnoliopsida; Brassicales; Brassicaceae
Source: RefSeq, a predicted model, not a curated record